Lagopus leucura (white-tailed ptarmigan) is the source of this 860-nucleotide long non-coding RNA. RefSeq lists it as uncharacterized. The record is from RefSeq and is a predicted model, not a curated record. Lineage: Eukaryota; Metazoa; Chordata; Aves; Galliformes; Phasianidae. The transcript is spliced from 3 exons.
CCCGCUGCUCCCGCGCCCUCAUGCUCUCCUCGGCUGACGGGCUGGGCACGGGGCUGAAGUGGGGGGGCUCCGUGUCCACCCAGCACCACCGCCGGACACUCCGGCAGCUGGCGGGCUUGGCUGAGCAGGGUCCGGCCGCGAGCAAGGGCCCACCGACCUCGGCUACACCGCAGAAGCCCCUGAGGCAAGAGAGGCUGAAAACCUGGCUGGCUGUGGAUGAAAUCCAACUUCCAUUCUGAGCUCCCUGGGAAACCCAGCCUUAGUGGUAAAGGAAAGAUGAAAAAGAAACGUGAAUGGAGAAGUCAGUUUCUUGGAUCUUGUCGUGAAGCCUGGUCCACAGCAAUACUAUACCAUUUCCUCUGAAUUGAAAGACGUGAAAUAAUGUGGUAACGUAGUUGUAAGGGCAUCUCUACUGAAGCUAUAUCAUGUUCUCAAAGAUAGUGAUGAAGUCUUAGUUGUUCACAUAAAUUAAAACUAGUGAAAACAGGUCAUAACUUCAAAUAUAGUCUAAUGACACAGGACCUUUUUUUGAAACCUUGAAUUUUGCUGUAGUCCUGUUGACAAUGAGAGUUAUUUUAGCAAAUGAAAAGAAUGGAAAGGGAGGAAGUAAACAUUCCACAGGAGACAAAGGAGAAAAAAGAAUGAUGUGAUGGAAACAAAGUUACUGAUUUUUCUGUUGUAACCGUGAUUAGCAAAAUUUUAGUUGUGUACAUCGUUUUGCUCACUUUAAAAAUAAAUACUAUUUCAGACCACUAAAAGUAUGUACUAAUAAAAUUAUACUAGCAAACUCUUCUGUGUUACCAACCAACAGAAAUACAUUUUUAUCAGUAUAAUUUGUAAUCAACUUUCCAAAUCAUAAG